RNAcentral lists this long non-coding RNA (528 nucleotides) under Nicotiana benthamiana. RNAcentral's name for it is "long non-coding RNA (NBEN_LNC035343)". Lineage: Eukaryota; Viridiplantae; Streptophyta; Magnoliopsida; Solanales; Solanaceae. The record is from RNAcentral.
GAAGCCCAUAUCAUCAUCGGACUCCUCUUUCUCCACCACCUUCUUUUCUUCCUUCUUCUCCUCAGCAGGGGCUGCAGCAGCAGCUCCACCAGUAGGCGCAGCAACUGCAACACCACCACCACUGGCAGGUACCGAAGCCAACUUUUCUCUGCCUGUGGCAAUCAGCUCAAUGAUGUCUUUUCCCUCAACUUGAGUAGCAACUGCAACACCACCACCACUGGCAGAUAGUGAAGCCAACUUUUCUUUGCCUGCGGCAAUCAGCUCAGUGAUGUCUUUUCCCUCAACUUGAGACAAGAGCAGUUCGAUAGAACACAGCUUGGUUUACGAACCUUAUCCCUUCGCAUAUGAGCUUGGUGAAUGGUGACUGAACUGAAGAGAAGCGGUGCUGGAAAUUAGAAAAUAAAAAUAGGGUUAGCAGAGUUAACAGUUAAGUAACUCAUAUCAGUAUUCAGUAAUAUGCAAAGCACCGAAGGGAUAGGGUAGUAAUAGUAUUAUAAAAUAAGGGCAUAUUUGUCUUUUUAAUAUAUC